Ectothiorhodospira sp. PHS-1 is the source of this 173-nucleotide non-coding RNA. The record is from Rfam. Lineage: Bacteria; Pseudomonadati; Pseudomonadota; Gammaproteobacteria; Chromatiales; Ectothiorhodospiraceae.
UCCACCGCAAGGUGGAAUCUGAAGGAAGCCUGCGGCAAACCGCCGAGCCGAGGAACACGAAUCUCAUACGAGGCGGGUUGCGUGGAGUGAGUGUGCUGAAGAACACAAAGCUCAUCCCAACACGGCAGCGCAGCACGUAUAUGAGGCGGCUACAUGGCGGGAAAGACGUGCGU